CCCUGGUAAUUCAGCUGGUAAAGGAUCUGCUUGUAAUGCAGGAGACCCAGGUUCGAUUCCUGGGUCAGGCA
Molecule: transfer RNA, 71 nt
Filed under: Bos taurus (domestic cattle)
Lineage: Eukaryota; Metazoa; Chordata; Mammalia; Artiodactyla; Bovidae
Also listed under: 4 other names
Rfam family: tRNA
About the family: Transfer RNA (tRNA) molecules are approximately 80 nucleotides in length. Their secondary structure includes four short double-helical elements and three loops (D, anti-codon, and T loops). Further hydrogen bonds mediate the characteristic L-shaped molecular structure. tRNAs have two regions of fundamental functional importance: the anti-codon, which is responsible for specific mRNA codon recognition, and the 3' end, to which the tRNAs corresponding amino acid is attached (by aminoacyl-tRNA synthetases). tRNAs cope with the degeneracy of the genetic code in two manners: having more than one tRNA (with a specific anti-codon) for a particular amino acid; and 'wobble' base-pairing, i.e. permitting non-standard base-pairing at the 3rd anti-codon position.
Source: Rfam by way of RNAcentral